Hemicordylus capensis (graceful crag lizard) is the source of this 781-nucleotide long non-coding RNA. RefSeq lists it as uncharacterized. Lineage: Eukaryota; Metazoa; Chordata; Lepidosauria; Squamata; Cordylidae. The transcript has 3 exons. The record is from RefSeq and is a predicted model, not a curated record.
GGGAAUCUCUUCCCCUGCACAUUCGUUUAGCCCCUUCCUUACUGAUCUUCAAAUCUCUAUUGAAGACUUUUCUUGUUCGCCAGGCUUUUGCCCUGUAGUUGAUCUAUUUGCUUUUGGUUGGUUACUUUCAUUUUUAAUUCAGAAUGUCAUGUUUAAUGUUGUCUUGCUUGCAUGUUUUUGUGCACCGCCCGGAGUCUUUGGAGUGGGUAGUAUAUCAAAUGUUUCUAAUACAUACAUACAUACAUAAGAAAGACAGAAAUCUUCCCCUCUCUUUCAGAUGUACCCUGAUGAGGCCUCUCUCGAGGCUCGAAUUCAAGGAAAAAGCCACGUCUCAGCUGCAUCAAGUGAUGAAUAUCAAGUGAAAUAGCCUAUCUUCCCUAAAUGCUUACUUGGAGUCAGUAAUGGGCUGGAUGAGGAAAAACAAACUGAGGUUGAAUACAAGGAAGAUGACUGGAAGAUAGGAAGUGGCUUAGAUCUGUCAGUUCUGGAAGGGGUUACACUCCCCCAGAAAGAGUAGAGUUUUCCAGCCAAUUAAAAAUGAAGACCUUUCUAAGCCAAUGCACACACUGGAGCAGCUCUUCACUCCAACCCUGAUAUCUCAACUGCCUUCAAUCAAAAAAAAUCUCAGUCAUCGACUCUGAUUCCAAAAAAGGUGUUUUCUACCUAAGCCUGAACAGGGACUUCCAGUCCAAGACAUGGAUGAUUAUGAACUCAACAGAGCCUCCAGAGACUGCUCCACUCCCAAAAAAGGGAGACCAGAGAAGCCACACCAACAUCACCC